Molecule: transfer RNA, 82 nt
Organism: Rhizoclosmatium globosum
Lineage: Eukaryota; Fungi; Chytridiomycota; Chytridiomycetes; Chytridiales; Chytriomycetaceae
Rfam family: tRNA
About the family: Transfer RNA (tRNA) molecules are approximately 80 nucleotides in length. Their secondary structure includes four short double-helical elements and three loops (D, anti-codon, and T loops).
Source: Rfam
GACAACGUGGCCGAGCGGUUAAGGCGAUAGACUAGAAAUCUAUUACUCUCUGAGUGCGCAGGUUCAAGUCCUGCCGUUGUCG